RNAcentral lists this long non-coding RNA (9199 nucleotides) under Nicotiana benthamiana. Its description in RNAcentral is "long non-coding RNA (NBEN_LNC012119)". The record is from RNAcentral. Lineage: Eukaryota; Viridiplantae; Streptophyta; Magnoliopsida; Solanales; Solanaceae.
CCUAGACCAUAAUUUUCCUAUCCAAACCCACAUAACUCAAGCUCAUUAUCUAGUCUAUAAUAUGUAGGCUCAUACCCCUAACAUAAUACAUAUCCUAUAUAAUACUAUCUACACUUAAAUGAUCAUCCGUCGUUUUCCCAGAGAAGAGGACCCAUCCCCUCACUGGUUAUCUUCUUCACUCAAUCUCCACCAAGCAGCUUCACACCUUCAUCUCCACCCCACAUACGCUAUCAAACCAGCCUCAUUUUUCCAUUCGAAAAGGGCUGCUGAAACAGCUUCUCGAACCCAGCAGAAAACCAUCCAAAAUUAGCUCUGAACCAUCCUAAAAAGUAGUCCGUUUUCAGCAAUGGAAAGCUGAAACUUCAUCUAUGAAAAAGCAGCCACUAAAAUCGCUGGAACACCCAUUAAAAAGCAGCCGCUGUUUUAAGCUUCGAAUUUUUUCGGUAGGCUUCGAUCUCACCGUUGCGGAGCCCGUUCACGAUUCGGUUCGUGUUUUUGUUCGAAGUUCGAUUGUCAUGUCGAGUAUCAGCCAUAGCGGUCUCUUUGUUUCAGUCCGUAGCUGAAUUUUUUUAUUUAAUUGAAAGCAACCUCAGGUUCUAUUCUUGCCUCUUUCCUUCUAUUCUAAUGUCAGUUCUAAUAUGGUUUGAGCUUAGACUAUAAUUUUGCUGGAUUUGUGAUGGGAAAUUGGUUUGAAGGAAUUUUUAUUUCUCUGUUGUUCGUGUCAAAAAGUUGUGUCAAGUCCAAAGCAUUUAACCGUGUAUAUAUAAGUUUCUUCUUAAAAUGCGUUUUUGCUUAUUUAAGAUCCCAAACAAAAUGACAACUUUAGUCCAAUAAAAAGAGCAUGUCCAAUAAGGUGCAUACCAUUUCCCUGUUUCCGAUACUAAUCUACUCGAAUAGCAUUAGGUAUGUGUGUGUAGUAUGUGUAUGUUACCUAAAGAUAAUAACUGGACCUAAUUUUUUUACUUUUUUAGUUUUUAUACCCUUGGGUAGAGAUUUUACUUUUUUAGUUUUUAUACCAUUAUGUAGAGAGGCUGUUUCCAAAUAGACCCCCGACAUCCUUCUCUCCAAGAACUUUCCACCUUGCUCUUGGGAUACUCGAACUCACAACCUCUCGGGUGGAAGUAGGAAUUGCUUACCAUAAGAGCAACUACUCUUGUCCUUGGUGGUGCUUUUUAAAUAAUUGGUAUAUUUGAUUGCCUUCAUAUCAUGGGCUUCAUGUUCUAGCAGAUAGAAAGGGACAUACAUUUAUUCUCUGGUCAUGGAGAGUGAAUUAUAUAUCUUGAAAGACCAAUUGUUAAUGAGUGAUGUACAGUUUAAAAUAGACUUGGUUGUAAUUCCAUAGCUCCUCUUCGUAAAUCUGAUCUUCGUCGUGUUCUCUGCUAACUGCCAAAUAGUUCUAACUUUUAUCAUGUUAAACAUGAGGUAUUUAAUGAACUUGUCUUGUUUCUUUGAAAAGAAUGUCUCACUCCAAGUGAGCCUCUGGCCCUUAUUUAAUUAAUAUUAAUCAUUUAGAAUUCAAGGCGUGCCAUUUAGUUUAAUUUUCAUGAAGCUCGCAAAGUUAAAAAUAUAUAAUUGUUUUAGGCGCGUAAUUUAAAGUUAUAUUUCUAAACUCGGGUGUAUAUUUAUGUGACCCAAUUUCAAUUCUCAACAAUAUUAGAUAAAAUGUAUCGAGGAUCGUGGGUGCAUUUAUGAGACGCGAUUCAAGAUAUAUUUUAGAUAACGUUGCAAUUUUCCUUUUUAAAGAAAAUAAUUAAAUAAAGUGGUAAAGUUUAUAAUUGCACCAUAGGCUAAAACAUGUAUAAAAAUCCAAUAAUAGGCGAAUUCUAAUAGUUUAAGCGACUGUGCUAGAACCACGGAAUCCGAGGGUGCCUAACACCUUUCCUCGGGUUAACAGAAUUCCUUAUUCAGAAUUUCUGGUUCGCAGACUUCAAAAGGAAAGUCGAAAUCUUCUUCGAUUUGGGAUUUAAAAAUAAAUCGGUGACUUGGGACACCAAAUAAACUAUCUCAAGUGGCGACUCUGAAAACAAAAAUAAAUAAAUAAUCUUAUUUCGAAUAAUAUCACUUUAAUUGGAAAAACUCUCUUAUACAUUUAUCCUUCGGGGUAGCCGUGUAAAAAAGGAGGUGUGGCAGCUCUGGCGACUCUGCUGGGGAUAGAACACAGAAUCUCUGGUUCAGGGUUUAAGAAUUCGAGCUUAGAAUAACGAUUCUGAUUGGCUUUAUCUGUUAUCUGAUUUUCCUACAUGUUUCAUGCCUAAUAUGCUAAAUGCUUUACCGCUUUGAUAUUGGAUGAAUUGUAUAUAUAUAAACAGUUACGAAACCCUUCUCUUCUCAUCUUCGAGGAUGUGUUCGCUGGUCGAGAUUCCCUAUUCUGUUAGUUCAUAACCUUGAAAUAAGAAAGAGACUCGGACAAAUUAUAAAGCCGGAUGGCCUUUUGGUUCCCGGUACGUAGCCCUCUCCUCGGCUCGAGUUAUUUGCUCGGGUGCACAAGUCUAGAACAGUAUACUCAGGUUUGAAACUAGAAUAACUCAGCAUCAUGCCGGAUCUUUAGUAAGAACGUUUAUUUGCAUCAUGUGCAUUUGAUCAUAGGGACUCAACAUAGGGGUUGAGUCCGUUAGGAUAGGUGUACCUAAAUGUAAAAGACCAUCUUAAUGCAUCUUGCGUGCUACUUGCAUACCUGUCUGUUCAGGCUUGCAUGUUGACCGGCUUCUAGAGUAGGGAAGAAAAUCAAAAAAGAAAAAGAAAAAAAGGAGAGGUAGAUAUUUAGAAAAUUCUGUAACUCUGCCGAAACUUUGAAAAAAGAAAAGUCAUUUAAAAAUAAGUCAUUUUUCCCGUUGUGUCGAAUCUGCCAGAACUACGCGAGUCUGAUUCUCACCGGAUGUGAGGUACGUAGUCAAGCCUCAUCGGUUCCGGCCCUCAAUUUUCGAAAAUUUCCAAAAAUAUUUUUAUUUUCUUCUUUUAAUAAAAAAUGGGGUCUUUCUUUAUGACCCAUAUUUGUUUUCAAAAAAAGAAACCCCUAAAACAAAAGUCCAAAAAUAUUUUCAUUUACUUCUUUAAAAAAAUUGUUUUUUUUAAGAACCCAAUUUUCAAAAAUCCAAAAAUUUUACUUCCUUGUUUAGAAAAGUUUUAGUUGCUUCUCAAGAAAAAAAAUACAAAUGUUUUCAUUCUUCUUUCGAAGAUUCAAAGGAAAAAUCCAGAUUCAAAAAUAUCUUCUCUUUUAUUUAGAAGUAUUUCUUUCAAAAUUCAAAAAAUUCAAAACUCCAAAAUAAUAUUUUUUUUCUUGUUUAGAAGUUUUUCUUUCAAAAUUUCGAAAAAAAUCUAAUAAUUCAAAAAAAUAUUUUUAUUCUUCUCUCAAAAAUUAAAAAGAAAAUUCAAGAUUCAAAUAUUUUCUUUUCCUUUAGAAGUACUUCUUUCCUAACUUCAGAAUAAAAACUCAUAACUACGAUAAGAAAAAUUUUCUUUCUUAUUUAAAAGUUUUUCUUUUGAAAAAAAAGCAAUAAAAGUCGAAAAAAAUAUUUCUUCUCUAGAAGUCUUUCUUUGAAAGAUGCUGAAGAAAAAUCAAAAUUCAAAAUUAUUCUCUUUCUUCUUUAUAAGUCUUUCUUUUGAAAAAAAGUGAAAAAAGGAGAAACUUCAAAAUCCAAAAAAAAAGUUAGUUUCUGUACUUUAUUCCUGAUCUUCCCGAACUACGCAAGAUCUAAUUCAUGCGGCAUCAUGAUACGUAGGCAACCCACAUCAGGUUCGAUCAACCAUGGAAUAGGAAAAAAUAGAAAAAUAAAAAUAGUGAAGAAAAGAAAACAUUGAUAAUAAUAAGGACUGACUGAGUCCAUUCUAACAUGUCUUUUGUUUUGAAUUGUGAAGAAAGUUUGAGGUGGUCGGUUUAUGGUAAGCAGACAGCACAAGAUUCAAGAGAAAAUGAUAACUGACAUCGAAGCGGUUACAAGUGCUCAAGAGACUCAGGGACGAAGAGUUCGACAAGAGUAUACUGUGGUUGAGAAAAAUAGAAUACUAAAACAGCAAAUGGCCAAAAUGUCAAGCAUGGGCCAAUAGCCAAGGAGAACCUUGUCAUGAGUCCCAAUUUGUUACACAACAAGAGCAAUCUCACUCUCCUAAAUACCACUCAUACUUAUUUGAUCUUCUUACAAAGAUUGAGAAGCCCGCCCAAACGAUGGUACCAGAAGAAAUGACCCAAAGAGUAAAAAGCUUAAAACAACGGUUGAAAAACAUGCAAGGGUUGGGGGUCAAAAGAGUGUUGCCUUCAAAGAUCUAUGUAUGUUCCCCGAUGUCCAUUUGCCGCGUGGUUUCAAGACUCCCAAAUUUGAAAAGUAUAAUGGACAUGGAGACCUCAUAGCCCACUUGAAAAGGUAUUGCAAUCAACUGAGAGAUGUGGGAAGAAAUGAAGAAUUGGUAAUAGCUUAUUUUGGGGAAAGCCUCACGGGAGUAGCAUCUGCAUGGUUUUUGAAUCAGGACACUUCUUGCUGGUACGUCUGGGAUGACAUGGCACAUGCCUUUGUCAAAAAUUUCCAAUAUAACAUUGACAUUUUCCCAGACCGCAAUUCCCUUUCAAACUUGAAGAAGAAACCAAGUGAAAGUUUCAGAGAAUAUGAUGGAGAGAGCGAACAGCUAGGGUUAAGCCACCCAUGGAUGACCACGAGCUAAUAACUAUCUUCCUUCAAGCUUAAGAGCCAGAUUACUUUCAAAACAUGAUGUCCGCAGUUGGCAAAUCCUUCUCGAAAGCAAUCAAAAUGGGAGAAAUGGUAGAGAAUGGUCUUAAGACAUGAAAUUUUUUAAGUCAAGCAGUUCUUAAAGCCGCAAAUCAAGCUGUCCGGGUUGAAUAUGAUAAUUUUAGUGACAUAAAUGAGAAGGAUGAAGAAAUCUUGAUGACAACAAGGUCGAGAAGAGGUCCUAGGGGAACACCUCGAAGGUAUACGCAACCUCAUCAUGUUUUCCAUGACUCCUCUGAUCAUUACUUUCCACCUCAGAACCCACCAUACUCUGUUGAUCCACCUCAGUAUGUUGAUCAGCCACCAAAUCACCCAAGAAAGCGAGCACGAGUAUCGCAAAAUCUCCACCAGCCUCCACAAAAUUUUCGAGCGCCUUAUAACCCAUAUCCAAGACAGGUGUAUAGAAGGGAACCAAACUUGAAAUAUAAUUUUACACCAAUAGGAGAGUCACAUGGAAGCUUAUUUGAAAAGUUAAAGCAUUAUGGCAUGAUUGCACCUAUUCCUCCAAAUAAUGUGGACCCACUUGCAAGAAGCUUUGACCCUUCUAAAAGGUGUGAAUACCAUUCCGAUGCUCGGGGACACGAUGUUGAAAGUUGUCGGGAUUUGAAAAGAGAAAUAGGGAGAAUGAUCCAGGAAAAGCUUAUUUUGAUUCAAGACCGUGUCACCCAGAAUAUCACGCAGAAUCCUUUAUCUGCACAGGACGACGCAUACUUCAUGGGGAUGAUGCCUGGUGACAUGGAGUAUGAGAAUUCUUUCGGGAACUUGUUGACUGAAAUUGGAUAAGGUCAUGGUGAUUUAUGAUGAGCAAAUUUGUGGCUAAAUGUCAAGCUUAGCAAUUGAAAAGUCAUUCCCUCCUCACUUAGGAAGGAAUCUUGGUUUCUUGUUUUGAUGUUUUUUCUAUUAUCAAGGUUAUUUCAGCGUUGUGAUCCAGAUUUUAUUUGUUUUAUUGAGUCAAACCCUUCUAUCUUUCUAUUCUAUUUGUAUGAGUUAUGUCUAUUCGUUUUGUUGCUAUUUUUAGUAUCCGGGUAUUUUAGGUUUGUAACUCGGAUCUUAGGUUGCUUGUUUAGUCGUCAAGGACUUCCAUCCUUAUUCAAUAAAAUCCAGUUUGUCCUUUUGUGUCAUUUUGUUCUUAGUUCCUUUCGCGCUAGUACUAAUAACAUGACAUGCAUGCGAAAAUUUUGGCAAGAUCUUGGAAACUGAUUUAAUUUGGAAUUGGAUAACUGGAAGAAAAAAAUAACACACUUUUGAGGAUGAAUAAAGAGUCAAAAUACUUGGGAACUAAAGUCGAGUAAAGGUCACUUUCGAAUCAUUGUGAAUAUUGGGCUUGAGAAAGAAUCAAUUGAAGAUUGUUGGAAAGUUUGACGUUAAGGGAUGAAAAGUGUCUAGUGACCACGACACACCAAGAAGACAUGCAUAUUCAUCAAUGUCGUGAUUGUGAAAUGAUACUAUGUUUGGCGUUCUCGAGGUUAGGAGGCCCUUUUUCUGCUACCCAAACACUUUAUACUUUUUUCACCCCUUUGAGCCUGUGUUAUUUUCUUUGACCACCCUCUUUUGGAAUCAAGUUUAGAGUCAAGAGUCGAAAAGUAAUGAAAAACAAAAAAAAACAAAAAAAGAAAAAAAGUCCAUGUCCCAAAAGUAUAAACUGGAGCAGCUUUUAGAAAGUUCUAAGCGAAAAAAAAGAGAACAAAAGAAUUAUCAAAGGUCCAUGCCCUCAAAAAUAGAAGCUAGGUCAUACAAAAAAAAGAGGAAAAAAAAGAAAAAAAAAUGAAAAGAGAAACAGAAAAAAAGAUGAAAAAUAAUUUAGGUUAGAUGUUUGAACUACGUUAGACCUGAUUCCUUUACAAAAACAAAAAGAGGAUACGUAGGCAGCCUCACGGCUCGGUCCAACCAAAUAAGAAUUCAAAAAAAAAAAGAACCGAAACAAAAGAAAAAUCCCAAAAAUUCCCCAAUAGCUGAAACUGGGGUGGACAUUUUUUUUCACUUUUGAAAUAGUGGAUUCCAAGAGUUGUAAGUCUACAACCCCUAAUUUUAAGUCUACUUUGAGCCUUCAUGCCGACCCUUCUUUCCAACCAUAUCCAAGAUCCCCUCAAAUAAAGACCUCCCAGUAUGCCUUCACGAAUGCCAAGAGAAGCAUGCGAUGAGCAAUGGUUGUCAUGUGACAUAGAACACUGUCAAGAUGUUCGCUUAAGAAAAGAGAAAGAAAAAGAAAAUAGAAAUAAAAAUGAGAGAGUCUUACUAUUGAAAACCCUCACGGGCACUGUAAGAUCAUGGUGAGAAGAGAUAAAUAAAUGAGAGAGACUUGUUGGUGAAAACUCCUCGGGGCACCACUGGUCGAAAGUGAGUCAUGAAGCUGAUGCAAAGGAUUGGCACGAACAAACCCGACUUCAAAGGUCAUAACAAUGGGGAAAAUGAAGAUCGGAUUAAUUGGAUAGAUCAGGCCCGUUAAGUCCAAAAUGCAUGUCAUGAUCAUUAAGACUAGUUACUAAAAAAAUAAUCUUCCUUCUGGCCUUAUGACAGGGGGCAUUUUCUUGUCAAUAUUUGUUUCUUUGUGUCAUUGAGUCCUUCACUCCGAAUCUGUCCUCGUCAAAACAAGCAAGAAAAGAUUUCAAAAUCUGCUACUAGCUUUUCAGUUGCACAAAGUAAAUUUGGCGGUUGUUACUGUCAGCAUGCCUUGAGGAUUCAUGCAAGGGCUCCCCCAGAAGACUCUUGUCAGCCUGCUUGGCGCAAGCAAAGAUAACUUGUGAUUCUCUCUGACAGACAAAUUUCCCAAAAAGCAUAAAGUCAUUAAAGAUAUCAGAAAGGUCAUCUGAGCCAAGAUCUCCAAUUGGGGCAGGGUUUAUUGAGCCUCAAAUACAAAUGGUACUGGGUGCGAAACAAUCAGAGUUGGUGCAGAACAAAUGUCUCUUAAGACCGACUCAGGUUGAUCGAGCAAAAGCCAAGCUUCUCAAGACUCAAGGCCAGAAACCGACUACCAUUUUCAAAACUGACAAAUUGUUCUUUGUUUGCAGGAACUAAGCAGCGCAAGGAAAGUGGUUCAAAAAAAAUAAAGAAAGAAAAACAAAAAAAAAAAACGAACAAAAACAACAAAAAAAGAGAAGAAAAAGACAAGAAGAGUAUUUCUCAAAUCUUGGUAUUUAUUUGUCUGCAUGGGCAUAAAAUCUUGCCAUUGAUCUUCACAUUUUUUUCUCAUAGGAUAAAAAGUCCUAGUCUGAUGGAUUUUCCUCCCAAUAAAAAUCUUAGUCUAAUGAAUUUUUCUCCGAAGAUAGAAGACCUUGUGUGAUGAACUUUCUACUAGGAUCAAAAUCUUAGUAUGAUGAAUCUUUCUCCUAAGAUACUAAAAAAAAGACCUAGUCUGAUGAACUUUCUCGUAGGAUCGAAAUCUUACUCUGAUGAAUAUUUCUCCUAAGAUACCUAAAAGUGACCUUGUUUGAUGAAUUUUCUCCUAGGAUCAAAAUCCUAAUCUGAUGAAUUUUCUCCCAGGAUAAACGUCUUAGUCGGAUGAAUCUUUCUGUUAAGAUACCAAAAAAAAAAAAAAAAAAGAGGGGGAACCUAGUCUGAUGAAUUUUCUCCUAGGAUAAAUAUCUUAGUCUGAUGAAUCUUUCUCCUAAGAUAGAAAACCUAGUCUGACAAAUUUUUUCCUAUGAUAAUUCAUAAAAAAUAAUCCAAAAUCAUGGUAGCAUAGGACCUUUUCCCUUUUAUCCAGGCAUAACCCGCGGACCUCCUCGACAUAACCCAAGGAUCAUCUUUCCCUUUUCUCCCCAGCAUAACAUGAGGGUCUUUUCUUUUCCUCCCCAGCAUGACCUGGGGGUCUUUUCUUUUUCCCCUGGCAUAAACCGAAGGUCAUUUUUUUUAUCCCCAGCAUAACCUGAGGGUCUUUUACUUUUCUUCCCCCGCAUAGCCCGAUGAUCAUUUUCUUUCUAUCCCAGUAGACCCCUUUUUCUCCUAUCCCGGCAUAACCCGCUGAUCCCCCUGGCAUAACCGAGGAGCCUUCUUCUCUCGGCAUAACACGUUAACCCCUUGGCAUAACCCAGGAACCUUUUUCAUUUAUUGCAGCAUAACCCGCGGAUCUCCCUGGCAUAACCGAGGAAUCUUUUUUCAUUUCAUCCCGGCAUAACCCGUUGCUUUUUUCUUUCAUCCCCAGUAGGGACCCUUCAUUCCCAUCCCGGCACAACCCGUGGAUCCUCCUCUUACCCCCAACAGGGACCUUUUCUCCUUCACAACAUAACCUGGCAAUCUUUUCAAAGGAUACACAAUCCCGACAUUUAUUGUUUUCAAUAAAGAAAUAGCUUAGAUUUGUUUUGCAAAUAACUCACGAAAUUUUCCCAAUGAAAACUGUGGUAGAAAAUUUUGUUCGUUUUUUUGUUUUGGUGUCCGAGCAGGUUUUACCUCAAGGCACAGGAUUCGAGAUGACCGAAAACAUGAGUCUCAAUCCAGAAUAAAGGAAUAGAAGAAAAGAGCAAAAAGAAGAGAACUUAGAAUGU